UGGGCUUAGACAACAAUAAUGCAUUAAGACUAAUAUGCAGUUGUUUGAUGACAAAGUGUUGUCCUUGACAUAGGGAUGUCAAAAUCAAUACAUGAGUAUAUGUUAGAGAACGACAUAUUGGACUUACUCGCUAUGAGUAUGUUUCUUGGAUUAUUAUAUAAUAGUUACAACAUUACUCAUAGUGGUAACUAUGUACAUG
This 199-nucleotide long non-coding RNA is filed under the name Gossypium barbadense (sea-island cotton). RNAcentral describes it as "long non-coding RNA (GBAR_LNC013503)". The record is from RNAcentral. Lineage: Eukaryota; Viridiplantae; Streptophyta; Magnoliopsida; Malvales; Malvaceae.